Molecule: ribosomal RNA, 583 nt
Filed under: Bacteroides ovatus
Lineage: Bacteria; Pseudomonadati; Bacteroidota; Bacteroidia; Bacteroidales; Bacteroidaceae
Description: bacterial SSU rRNA
Rfam family: Bacterial small subunit ribosomal RNA
Source: RNAcentral
CGAUGGCGACCGGAGCACGGGUGAGUAACACGUAUCCAACCUGCCGAUAACUCCGGAAUAGCCUUUCGAAAGAAAGAUUAAUACCGGAUAGUAUACGAAUAUCGCAUGAUAUUUUUAUUAAAGAAUUUCGGUUAUCGAUGGGGAUGCGUUCCAUUAGUUUGUUGGCGGGGUAACGGCCCACCAAGACUACGAUGGAUAGGGGUUCUGAGAGGAAGGUCCCCCACAUUGGAACUGAGACACGGUCCAAACUCCUACGGGAGGCAGCAGUGAGGAAUAUUGGUCAAUGGGCGAGAGCCUGAACCAGCCAAGUAGCGUGAAGGAUGAAGGCUCUAUGGGUCGUAAACUUCUUUUAUAUGGGAAUAAAGUUUUCCACGUGUGGAAUUUUGUAUGUACCAUAUGAAUAAGGAUCGGCUAACUCCGUGCCAGCAGCCGCGGGUAAUACGGAGGAUCCGAGCGUUAUCCGGAUUUAUUGGGGUUUAAAGGGAGCGUAGGUGGAUUGUUAAGUCAGUUGUGAAAGUUUGCGGCUCACCCGUAAAAUUGCAGUUGAAACUGGCAGUCUUGAGUACAGUAAAGGUGGGCGGAA